CCCCGAGACAAGGCCCGGCCUCCCAGCCUCGCGCCCUCCUGGCCGCCUCCGCGCGGGCGGCCUCCCUGAGGGCGGGAUGACAGUCUAACUCGCACUGACAGCCAGAAAAAAGAUGGAUAACAUUCUGAUGCGGUUCAAAGAAAGCCUCGAGGACAGAGGGGUCCAACAAUGCUGGAAGUGACCAAACAAAAUAGUGGUCGAGGAGAAGUCGAAGACAAGUCAGGACUACCUUCACACAAACCAGUUUAUCCAAAGUGUAGCACCUCAAUUUGGCAAUAAAAACAAUACUGCAAUUGCUGGAGAACGGAAGCACAAAAUGCUGGAAAAACUCAGCAAGUCUGGCAGCAUCUGUGAAGAGACAAAAAUAGUUAAUAUUGAGUCUGAAAUGAUUCUUCUUUUAGAACUAAGCUAUGUAGCUCAACCUUGGCUGUCAAUCUUUAUAUUUCUUAUUCUCUGUACUUUCUAUGUUUGAAAUUCUGAAGACCUCAAGAUAUGGAACGAGUAAUAUCUAAUCCAAUUUCUGGGUACAUCCACAUCUCUGCUGGCAUCAGCAUUUCAACAUGGAGAUCGAAUGGAUCAGGCCGAGUAGGGGUGGAAUGGGCCUACUGAGUUGCAAUGCGUGGGCCCGGCUUGAACCAGUGCCCCCGCCCGGUCCUGUUCCAGCUGCAGAGCCACAAGGAGAGGCAGAUGCUCUUAGAAGCUUCCAGAAAUCUAGGUAAGAUCCCCGAGCCAUGAUUUACAAAGGAUCCAAGAUUAUGCAAUUCCAGGAUUUCUCCCCAGGUUUGGUCUGAAAGAGGAAGGCGUUUGACAAAGCAAAGAAGCGUUGAGGGGACUUAAACAUCCACUACUCCCUGCGCUACCCAGCGGUGCUACGUUUUAGCCAUGAAGGGUCCAUGCACAACUUCGGAUUGCCAGAGAAGGCCAAGGAAUUUCUGGACUCUCUUAGAUAAAUUGUAAGAGUUAAUUCGAGUGGUGAAUGAUGUUGUUCUGACCUACCCCCCACCCCGGUUCAUCCCUUUUUUUUCCCCUUUUAUUACCUUACUGUUUAAUAUUAUCUCCAAGAGGAGUUUAUUUAUUUGUUCUUCACUUAGUGAUUCCCCCUUUUUUUUAUAUAUAUAUAUGCCAGGUGGUCUAGUUAAUGUAGGUGGGGGAGGUGGUUACCUUAUCCUAUUUUAUCUCUGUCUUUAAUAGCAGGGCUGUUUUCCCCUGUUAUUUUGUAUUACUAUAUUUAAUUAUUAUUUGUUGAGACUGUAAUUUUAUAGUUAUAUAUGUUCAUGCAUGGCAUUAACAUUACCAAAUAUAUGUAGGUGUUGGUGUAAGUGGGGGGGGUGGUUUAGGGUACUCACUGUUAACUUUAUCUCUGUAGUAUAUUUGAAUUUUCUUUAUUUUAUCGUGGAGUGCCUGGGUCAAGGUUGGGGCACUGGUUGGUAGAGGAUAUGAUGGGCGUUCGGAAAGGAAGUGAUGCCCCCUGGGAACAAGGGGGAAAAUCUCCGUUUAAAAAUGUUUUAUAUUUUUUCUAUUUAGAAAUAGUUUUUUUAUUAUACAGGAGCGCCUCGACUUACGAACUUAAUCCGUUCCAGGACCCAGUUCGGGAACCGAAACAAUGUUCCCAUCGUUCAGAUAUUUCCGGAGUCUUUUCUCUUUUUUAUCUCUUGGAGGUUGGUGAUGCCACAAGAAAACGAUCCAGAGAAACUUGUUUUUUUCUUUGUUGCAGAAUUUGGAACAAUUUAAAAUGUUCACUGCUCUGUUGGUCACAGUUUUGUUAGGGUGACGCCUCUAUACAAAAGCCUGCAUUUCAAUCCAUUUGCUACAAAUGUCUUUGAUUUGAACACUUGAUACACCUUCCCUCUCUUCUUCCUCCUCUCCAGAAUGCUCCUGCUGCAUAACCUUCACCUGCUCCUGUUGCAAUUCAACAAGAUCUUCUGUGCUGGGUUCUUGUCUGUGGUCCUCCACCAGCUCCACCACAUCAUCCUCGUUGACCUCCAAGCCCAUAUUUUGGCCCAGGGUCACAAUCUCAUUCACUACAUUUACUGAUGUCUCCUCCUCUAACCCCUCAAAGUCUCUCUCAGGUACACAAUCUGGGCAAAGUUUCCUUCAGGCCGACUGCAACGUACGGAAAGAGACCUCGUUCCAUGCCUUAUCAAUAAGGCUUAUGCAGUGGAGGAUAUUGAAGUGGUCCUUCCAGUACUGACCAAGGUCAAAUCUGUGUCGUUGGUGACCUGGAAACACCUGGCAAACACAGCCUUCGUAUAUAAUGUUUUGAAAUUUGCAAUGACAUGCUGGUCCAUGGGUUGGAUGAGAGGAGUGGUAUUGAGAGGAAGGAACUUUACUUUUAUGAAAUCGUAUUCAAUGUCCAAGUCUUCUUCCAAAUUUGGAGGAUGGGCAGGAGCAUUGUCCAUUACUAGAUGACAUUUAAGUGGCAAAUUAUUUUUUUCAAGGUAUUCCUUGACAGCUGGUGCAAAAACUUCCGUCAACCAUUCCAUAAAAAUCAUUUGCGUGACCCAAGCCUUGCUAUUCGUCCUCCACAUUACCGGGAGUUUAGCCUUCAACACAUUAUUGCAUUUAAAAACGCGAGGAUUUUCAGAGUGGUAGACUAACAGAGGCUUAAUCUUGCAAUCCCCACUUGCAUUCGCACACAAUAAAAGUGUAUACCUGUCCUUCAUUGGUCUGUGGCCCGGUAGUGCCUUCUCCUCUUGGGUUAUGUAGGUUCUUUUGGGAAUUUUUUUCCAGAAAAGUCCAGUUUCAUCACAGUUAAAACCUUUUUGUGAGCCAUAACCUUCAUCUUUGACAAACUUAUUGAAUUCCUUCAGAAAGUUCUCUGCUGCCUUUUUGUCCGAACUAGCCGCUUCUCCAUGCCUUACAACACUAUGGAUUCCAGUUUUUUAUUAGAUUACUUACAGUAUGGAAACAGGCCCUUCGGCCCAACAAGUCCACACCGACCUGCCGAAGCGCAACCCAUCCCCCUACAUUUACCCCUUCACCUGACACUAUGGGCAAUUUAGCGUGGCCAUUUCACCUAACCUGUACAUUUUUGGACUGUGGGAGGAAACCGGAGCACCCGGAGGAAACCCACGCAGACAAGGGGAGAAUGUGCAAACUCCACACAGUCAGUCGCCUGAGGCAGGAAUUGAACCCUGGUCUCUGGCGCUGUGAGGCAGCAGUGCUAACCACCGUGCCAUCCACGUCGACGAAAUUUAUCAAACGAGCCUCUGCUGGCUUUAAAUUCUUCAAUGCUAGCAGUGCUUGUACUCGGCGGUUUCGCCAACAAAUCACGGUGUAUGUGUAGAGCCUUCUCGCAGAUUAUAGUCUUGUUAAUACGAUCUCCAGCAAGCUCUUUUUGAUUUAUCCAAACUAAUAAUAAUUUUUCAAUUAAAUAGCUUCGUUUAAAUAGCCACUCCUUUAGCUACGUCAGCUGCCUUUAGUGCCUCUUUCUUCUUUAGGAUAGUACAGAUAGUCGAUUUCGCCAUGUCGUACUGCAUAGCGAGAUCAAAUACGCGAGCACCAUUUUCGUGUUUAGCUAUUAUUUCCUUCUUCGUUUCCACAGUAAUACAUUUAGGCUUCUUAACACCACUAUCAUUACCACUUUUCACUUUCUUGGGAGCCAUAAUGAGGACUAAUUUAAUGCAAAAAAAACCAAAAAAAAGCAUAAGAAUGCUUGGACGUAGCAACAAACGAUGUUCACAGCGCGCGACUAACUGAAUGAGAUCUCGCGGGGCCUGAGAGCUUUUGCGUUCAAAGCACUCGUAGCAAAGCAGAACAAUGACAGUGAAACCACAGGCUUUUUGCGUUCGUACCUUCGUUCGUACCUUGAAUUUCGUACGUAUGUUGAAGCAAAAUUUUACGUACAAUCCUGUUCGUAAACCGAUGUGUUCGUGAACAGGGUCAUUCGUAUGUCGAGGCCCUACUGUAUUGAUGUGAGUGUAUUAAAGAACCUCUACUUUUGUGAAUUUUAUAUGUUCUAUUCUUGGAUGUUUGGAUGGGUCUUCUUCUCACGAGGGGUCUCAGACUUGCCUGGACAAUUAUGGUUACUCAUUCAAUUAAAUGAUGCACCUGGAA
This is a long non-coding RNA of Hemiscyllium ocellatum (epaulette shark), 4056 nucleotides long. RefSeq lists it as uncharacterized. The record is from RefSeq and is a predicted model, not a curated record. Lineage: Eukaryota; Metazoa; Chordata; Chondrichthyes; Orectolobiformes; Hemiscylliidae. The transcript has 2 exons.